Molecule: long non-coding RNA, 436 nt
Filed under: Nicotiana benthamiana
Lineage: Eukaryota; Viridiplantae; Streptophyta; Magnoliopsida; Solanales; Solanaceae
Description: long non-coding RNA (NBEN_LNC030342)
Source: RNAcentral
ACUUCAUACACUUACGAUCUCACAGUUCUCUUCUAAACUCACAGCAUCUUGAUUACUUGUUUGCACUUUUGCUUUACAAGACUACUGCUUUCUUCUUGAUUGUUUCUUUGAAACUGCUAUAUUCUAAUUUUGUUUUCAUCCUCACCUCAAUGUGUUUAUUUUAUAGUUUCUACAAUCAUGUCUACUUUGAUGUCUAUGCUCAGUGUUAAAUAUGUAUGUUGUUCUCUUUGCAUCUAUUUUCUGCCAUGAAUCCUUGUACCCUUACUCCCUUCUAUGUGUUUGAGUUAAAAUUCAGACAUGGUAGCAUCCAAAUUGUUGCUCAUGUCUGGACUUGAUCCUUCAAAGGAUCCUAACUCCCCAAAAAAUGUCGCUAACAGGUUGGUUGGGGUGUGCCAACAUUUCUAAUUGCUGGGUAUAACCACCAGCCUAUCUUGUC